GACGAACGCUGGCGGCGUGCUUAACACAUGCAAGUCGAACGGAAAGGCCCCUUUGGGGGUCCUCGAGUGGCGAACGGGUGAGUAACACGUGAGUAACCUGCCCUUGACUUCGGGAUAACUUCAGGAAACUGGGGCUAAUACCGGAUAGGAAUCCUUGCUUCAUGGUGGGGGUUGGAAAGCUUCGGCGGUUUUGGAUGGACUCGCGGCUUAUCAGCUUGUUGGUGGGGUAGUGGCUUACCAAGGCUUUGACGGGUAGCCGGACUGAGAGGGCGACCGGCCACAUUGGGACUGAGAUACGGCCCAGACUCCGACGGGAGGCAGCAGUGGGGAAUAUUGCACAAUGGGCGGAAGCCUGAUGCAGAAACGCCGCGUGCGGGAUGACGGCCUUCGGGUUGUAAACCGCUUUCAGCAGGGGCGAAGCUUGUGGUGACGGUACCUGCAGAAGAAGCACCGGCUAACUACGUG
RNAcentral lists this ribosomal RNA (465 nucleotides) under uncultured bacterium. RNAcentral describes it as "partial 16S ribosomal RNA". It matches the Rfam family "Bacterial small subunit ribosomal RNA", at positions 28 to 507 of the family's 1533-position model. The record is from RNAcentral.